GACGAACGCUGGCGGCGUGCUUAACACAUGCAAGUCGAACGGAAAGGCCCUGCUUGCAGGGUACUCGAGUGGCGAACGGGUGAGUAACACGUGGGUGAUCUGCCCUGCACUUCGGGAUAAGCUUGGGAAACUGGGUCUAAUACCGGAUAGGAGCCAUCUUUAGUGUGGUGGUUGGAAAGUUUUUUCGGUGUAGGAUGAGCUCGCGGCCUAUCAGCUUGUUGGUGGGGUAAUGGCCUACCAAGGCGGCGACGGGUAGCCGGCCUGAGAGGGUGUACGGCCACAUUGGGACUGAGAUACGGCCCAGACUCCUACGGGAGGCAGCAGUGGGGAAUAUUGCACAAUGGGCGCAAGCCUGAUGCAGCGACGCCGCGUGGGGGAUGAGGGCCUUCGGGUUGUAAACUCCUUUCGCUAGGGACGAAGCUUUUUUGUGACGGUACCUAGAUAAGAAGCACCGGCUAACUACGUG
Molecule: ribosomal RNA, 466 nt
Filed under: uncultured bacterium
Lineage: Bacteria
Description: partial 16S ribosomal RNA
Rfam family: Bacterial small subunit ribosomal RNA
Source: RNAcentral